UUGCCUUUUGUUGGGAGGGGAAGGGGUUGGGGGUCGGGGGGAAGAAACUGGGGCCAGAGGACAGUGGCAGCCGCAACGCUCAGGGAGGAUUGACUGCCGGCGUGGCUGGCUUAGUACCGUGGAAUAGUCGCGGUCCCGUCCUGCCUCCGUAUUUUCUUCUCCCUCUUUUGAACUUUCUUUCGACGGUUGCACACUGUCCCUCUCCCAAGUCUCUAAAUCCUCUCCUUGUCCCUCUGUCCCCACAGCCCGUUAGCGGUAGACCUUCCAGCUCCCGUCCCCACUGGGCGCUGCAGGCCGCCGAGCGGCACGCGAACCGCACGCGCGGGCAACAAAAGCCGCUUUCAUGACUCACUGCCCUCGAGCAAUGCCCCGAAUCUGUCGCCCCCCACCCCCAGCCCCGGGCCCUCGCUUGGAGCGCGCGGCGCGGCCCGGGCGGUCCCGGCCGUUACAGCGGCUGCCAGAGCGCCGGCGGGAAGGGAGCGCGAGGCGGCGAGGGGAGUGUGGCCGGGGCGGGGAGGCUGGGGUGGGGGGAGGCGUGUGGCACCGCGUGUGGAGGUGUGGGGGGAGGAGACGGGGGGAUGGAGGCGGGAGGCCGGGACUUAGGGGCUGGGAAGCGUGUAGCUGGCGGGCGAAGGGGGUGGUGCGGCGCAUUCACAGGGCUAAGAUAAAGAGCUGGGGCCGGGCUGGCGUCCCCGGCGGUGACCUGUUUCUCGGGGAAACAGAUGCUCGCUCUAGCAAAGGGAGGUCUGCGUUCAAUGCAAGUAUUACGUACGACCCGGGCGGCCCCACCGACCUCCAGCGGCGUCCGCGCCCUCUCCCACCCCUCCCAGGAGAGGGGUGUGCCGGCCUGGGCACGUUCGAGGCGCGGGAGGAGGUUAAAGCUAUUAAAGGAGUAGAAACAGUAAUCCAUGGCACUCAGCAAUGGAUUAGUUGAUUACAACCUGUCACCUGGAAAUGAAGGGCCACACUGCGUGGCAGCUACAGUGGACCAUUAUGGAAGCACAGGAAUAAAAGGGAUGUAGAUGUGGGCUGCCUACA
Long non-coding RNA from Bos indicus x Bos taurus (hybrid cattle), 1038 nucleotides. NCBI's taxonomy places the organism in Eukaryota, Metazoa, Chordata, Mammalia, Artiodactyla, Bovidae. The record is from Ensembl.